Molecule: ribosomal RNA, 492 nt
Filed under: Porphyra linearis
Lineage: Eukaryota; Rhodophyta; Bangiophyceae; Bangiales; Bangiaceae
Description: SSU rRNA
Rfam family: Eukaryotic small subunit ribosomal RNA
Source: RNAcentral
AAUCCCUUAUCGAGGAUCCAUUGGAGGGCAAGUCUGGUGCCAGCAGCCGCGGUAAUUCCAGCUCCAAUAGCGUAUAUUAAAGUUGUUSCAGUUAAAACGCUCGUAGUCGGAUUUCGAAGCACGCUCACGGGGCCGGUUCUUGCUGUUCCUGUGGGGGUGUCUUCUUAUUCUGGGACGCGGUGUGCGGGACUUGAUUGUCUCUGCACAUCUGCGGGCCGGACGUUUACUGUGAAGAAAUUAGGGUGUUCAAAGCAGGCGUUUGCUAUGAAUACGUGAGCAUGGAAUAAUAGAAUAGGACUUGGGCUCUAUUUUGUUGGUUUCCGGAGAACAAGUAAUGAUUAAUAGGGACAGUUGGGGGCAUUCGUAUUUCAUUGUCAGAGGUGAAAUUCUUGGAUUGAUGGAAGACGAACAACUGCGAAAGCAUCUGCCAAGGAUGUUUUCAUUGAUCAAGAACGAAAGUUAGGGGAUCGAAGACGAUCAGAUACCGUCGUA